This is a long non-coding RNA of Mus musculus (house mouse), 2465 nucleotides long. RefSeq annotates it as predicted gene, 39393. The transcript is spliced from 2 exons. The record is from RefSeq and is a predicted model, not a curated record. Lineage: Eukaryota; Metazoa; Chordata; Mammalia; Rodentia; Muridae.
UGGCAGCUGAAAGAUUUGGUCAGAACUCAGAACAGGCCAUUCUUGGCAGGAUAAAUGGUCUAGAGUCAAGUCUGGAACAUCCAAGAGAAAGGUCACGGUUCUGUGGUCACACAACAUCCUGCAUGCGGGUGUUCCCCUGGCAAGCUGCAAACUCUCAGGCGCUCCAUUUUCUCAGCCAUAAAAUGAGAAUACGUGUUUUUUUUCUCCCCCCCUCAGGGUCAUAUUUUCCAGAUAACAUUAUUUUUAAAGGCAAAGCCUCAGUACAUAACCCCAACUGACUUGGAACUGGCUAGAUAGACUAGGCUGGCCUUGAAUUCACACAGAUCCACGAACUUCUUGGAUAUUGGGAUUAAAGGCACACGUCACCAUACCUGGCUUUGUCUUCCGAGACUGGGUCUCUGGAAUCCUAGUGUGGCUUUCAGAACUCACGUAGCUGAAGAUGGCUUUGAACUUACUUCCGAGUCUCACGUCCCUACUUUGCUGAGUGUUGGUGUUACAGAUUGGGCACCAACACACCCAGUUUACGCUGACUGGCUUUGUACAAGCACACUUGGCAAGCACGCUACCCGAGUGAGCUACAUCCAGUCUCUAGUCUCUAGGCAGCAUCUCCCCGUCCAGUGAACAGGAGCUCCUGGGAUGGUUUGUUUUACUCACGUUAUUUCUUUUGCUUGCAACCAGAGAGAACACCGGGCUGUCUGCUCUUUUUCACGGGCCUCAAAGAUUCCCCAAAUACAAACAGCACAGGAGGCAGUUGGUCUGUGGCUACCCCGUACUUAGGGAUAAAGGCUGGUUCUUUUUCUGGAGUCUGGGGAGAUCGGCUUUGGGCAGCACAUACGACCUGAGUGUUCCAGCCCUCGCACUUCAAUGUGGGCUAUGGCAGCCAGCCUCACAGACCCUGGAGAGUGGUCUAGUUCUGACUUUCUCAGGCUGGGUUGCUUGUGGGCUUAGAAUUCUAUCUUUGUGUCUCUGCUGCUGUGUCUAUAAAAUGGAGGAAGUAAUACUGCCAGCUCUGAUAGAAAGGACAAGGAAUCAAGCAUGUACCACCCUCCACUGCCUCUGUCUCUGUCAUGAGCACCCCAGGCUUGCCUUGAGUGGCAGGCCUCCCUCCUCAGUCUCCCGAGUGCUGGAUGUCAGGUGCGGGCCACUAUGCAUGCCUAGUGCCUUUGGCUCUCUCACAGGACAAGUGUCCUCCUCUUCCUUCUUUGAUGCGAAUGUUUGCGAAGAAAAUCCCCAGUCCCCACCCCCUAUUCUUUCCCCAGCCUCUGCCAAAGACUCCAGAGAGCCAAAUGGGAGAUAGAGCAAACAAAGCACACAUCCUCAGCUGGCUAUGUUCUGGUGGCUGUGGCCUCUGACCAAUUUGGAAUCCAUUUCUAGCCUUCCUCGGAAUGGAGCUGUUACUCAGUGACCCUCUGCUCACUGCCCUGGGCUCUUUCUUGUCCCUACCUACCUCUGCAGGGGGAGCCCAGGUACCCCAGGUUGGAAGCAGCCCUUCCUGAACCCCAGCCCUUUCCUGAUGAGCCUCUUUCCCAACAUACAGCCAGAGGACUGAGCUCUAAAGGUGGCCUCUGGUAGCAGGCCCCAUGACUUUUCCCUCACUCCCCUUAGCCACUGUUGACCUUGUCCCACUUCCUGAGACAAAAAAAAAAACAAAAAAACAACAAAAAAAAAAAACCAAACCCAGCUGCUUCCUAAAUCAAGGAAGAGCCUGUUCCCACCAGGCCCUCCCCUUGGGGGUUUGGCUGGGAGCCUUUUGUCCUUACUGGCGCCAGGAAAGAAGAUGAUAGCCACCCCACUUUCCGGACUCCAUGUUUGUGGAAGUAAGAGUGGGAAUGUCUGCCCCCGCCACGAGGCGGGCAGUUUUGGUCUCACCGCGAUGUAUCUUUUUAGAAGACCAAAGAAACAACCAACCCACGCGAUCUGCUUGGCCUGUGCCACCCAGCACAGAGGCCACACUGUCAUCCAGCACUGGACUGUGGUCACUUGAAAUAUUAUAUGUACGCUUCCAAAGGCUCAACAUGAGAAAAAGAAUGUAGGGCACGAUCCUCAAGUUUUGUUGAGGUUUUGAGAUGGGGUCUGGCUGUAUUGCUCAGGCUGCUUGCUCUGAUUCCUGACUCAACUGAUCCUCCUUCCUCAGGCUGGGUAGCUGAGACCACAGGCUUACAACUGCAAUGCCCAGGUUUCAUUAAUGUUCAUCAUCAUCACCAUAUCAUCAUCAUCACCACCACCACCACCAUCACCACCAUCACCACGUCUACAGCGUUCUACCUUACAUGUAUACCUUAUUACAGAUGGUUGUGAGCCACCAUGUGGUUGCUGGGACUUGAACUCAGGACCUUGAGAAGAGCAGUCAGUGCUCUUAACCUCUAAGCCAUCUCUCCAGCCCUCUUUAAUGUCUAAAUAUUGGUUCCAUGUUGAAUUGACAUGACAGGUAUAUUGAAUUAAAUAAACUGUUUUGUUAAAAUUAA